Neofelis nebulosa (Clouded leopard) is the source of this 881-nucleotide long non-coding RNA. RefSeq lists it as uncharacterized. Lineage: Eukaryota; Metazoa; Chordata; Mammalia; Carnivora; Felidae. The record is from RefSeq and is a predicted model, not a curated record. The transcript is spliced from 3 exons.
UCUAUAAUUUGGAACGUUUUGGUUGCUCAAAUGCAGUGGAAUUGGCUGAUAGUUUACAGUUGUAAAGUUUGUGCAUUGGACACCGCACCAUCACAGUGUGUUGCUGAGAACAGCCAACGGCCUGGUUGUUUGUGGAGCCAAUUACGGCUUGUUUCCAGGUGGUGUCCGGGUUUCUGGAGUGGUACUGGGGAGUGGGGAGGUUCUUGACUGCUCUGAUGAAAUCACUUAUAGGAAGUGCCGUCAGAAGCGAUAACUGACGAUAACAGUUGCUGGCUGACUGCAGUCAACAAGUCCUCCCCAGCUGCCGGUGUCCUGGCGGAUCUUGGUUUGAGCAGUGACGUUUAUUUUCUGUAUUCACCCAGGUUGCCAGUUAGCGUGCGAUCGUAGCAGCUGAGGAUUCGAGCGAUGAGUGGCCUGCCUUGAGGGGUGCCUGAAUUGCCCCAGGUUUUGAGUGCUGGGUUGUCGAAAAUCAGCGAUCAGCAGUGUGGAGUUGAAGCCAGUGGUGCCACAGCUCAGCCCAAGUAGAGGCUAUCUUCCCAGAGAAUGGUCAGCCAUGCGAGGACCAGUGACCACCAUCAGCUUGGACUGAAAACCUAGACUUCAGUAGUUGGUGUGGAAACAUUACUUACCUGAGGCUGAGAUUCAGAGCCUGUUCCGUUACCAGCAGUAGAACCAACAAAUGUGUUUUUCUAAGAUAGGUCACUGUUGGUUUUCUAGUGUUACAAAUAUAUUUCUAGUUCUCCCUUGCCCAAAGAGCUUUCUGCACUUUUUAAUUUUGUAUGAAUUCUGUUGGGUGAGGGUCUGAGUUCUUAAGCCUAAAGCUUAUUUCUUCCUGAAAUUAGCAUUUCCAUGCAAUGACAAUAAACCAGUACUGCAAUAAA